AGUUGAUCCGAGGGUUAUUGUGGGUUAUUGUUAAGCUGAUUUAACAUUGUCUCUCCUACAACUAUGCUUGACUAGCUGUUA
This 81-nucleotide Y RNA is filed under the name Microcebus murinus (gray mouse lemur). RNAcentral's name for it is "Y RNA (ENSMICG00000024145.3)". It matches the Rfam family "Y RNA". Rfam says of the family: Y RNAs are components of the Ro ribonucleoprotein particle (Ro RNP), in association with Ro60 and La proteins. The record is from Rfam by way of RNAcentral. Lineage: Eukaryota; Metazoa; Chordata; Mammalia; Primates; Cheirogaleidae.